UGAGUAACCUGCCCUUAACUCUGGGAUAAGCCUGGGAAACUGGGUCUAAUACCGGAUAUGACUCCUCAUCGCAUGGGUGGGGGGUGGAAAGCUUUAUUGUGGUUUUGGAUGGACUCGCGGCCUAUCAGCUUGUUGGUGAGGUAAUGGCUCACCAAGGCGACGACGGGUAGCCGGCUGAGAGGGUGACCGGCCACACGUGGGACUGAGACACGGCCCAGACCUCCGUACGGGAGCAG
Molecule: ribosomal RNA, 236 nt
Filed under: uncultured bacterium
Lineage: Bacteria
Description: partial 16S ribosomal RNA
Rfam family: Bacterial small subunit ribosomal RNA
Source: RNAcentral